GUGUUACUUCGGUAUCACAUAUACUAAAAUUGGAACGAUAGAGAAGAUUAGCAUGGCCCCUCGGAAUUACUCAAAUGGCCCAUUUAAUCAGUAAAUUUUU
This 100-nucleotide small nuclear RNA is filed under the name Gadus morhua (Atlantic cod). The record is from RNAcentral. Lineage: Eukaryota; Metazoa; Chordata; Actinopteri; Gadiformes; Gadidae.